Molecule: ribosomal RNA, 207 nt
Filed under: uncultured bacterium
Lineage: Bacteria
Description: partial 16S ribosomal RNA
Rfam family: Bacterial small subunit ribosomal RNA
Source: RNAcentral
CACGUAGGCGGUUUGUUAAGUCGGAUGUGAAAGCCCCGGGCUCAACCUGGGAACUGCAUUCGAUACUGGCAAACUAGAGUAUAGAAGAGGCAAGUGGAAUUCCGGGUGUAGCGGUGAAAUGCGUAGAUAUCCGGAGGAACAUCAGUGGCGAAGGCGACUUGCUGGUCUAAUACUGACGCUGAGGUGCGAAAGCGUGGGGAGCAAACG